Molecule: non-coding RNA, 108 nt
Organism: Vicugna pacos (alpaca)
Lineage: Eukaryota; Metazoa; Chordata; Mammalia; Artiodactyla; Camelidae
Source: RefSeq, a predicted model, not a curated record
UAGUUUAAUCUUGGCAGCACCUCAGAAUCCCAGGGUGAUCUGACAUCUUCCUUUUCUUCGAAUCUUAAUGCUGACGUUGCGUCUACAAAAUGCAGUCAAAGAUACAUU